ACUUUUACUUUUGCUUCGGUUUAAGUUAUAAUCAAUUUUAAUUGAAGAAAAAAAAAACAGAUUAAAAUGAAUGAAAACGAAUGAAAUUUAUCCAUAGCAAGCAAAAAUCGGUUCGCGAAAUGAAAUAAACGGAAUUUUUGCUUAUUUCCACUGGAAAUGUCUUCAAAUUACUGCAAAUGUUCAACGUUUUUGAAUGUGAAAUGACAAUAGAUACAAGGCAGAGCAGAAUUUUACCUGUGAAAUACACAAAAUGGUACAACGGAAAAUGUCCGAAAAAUGCUGUGGGUCAUCAAGUAUAUCUGCCUAAGGAUUCUCACCAUACAAAAAAAUAUGUUGGGAAAAGGAAAAUUAAUGGAAAAAGGGUUCACAUUUACCAAAAAAAGACAAAACCGAUCGUCAUUCAACAGUGAAUUCUUCAAGCUCAACCAAUUGUUGCACUUCAAACGACACCACCAUCGGUAAUGACCUAGAACAAAUAAACUGAGAUUGUGAUCGUAAAAAUCCAUAGGUGUGUGAAAGAUAUGUGAUUUUGGUUAGCAUGACCAUUUAGCGAUUUGAAUAGAGCAACAUCUUCGAUGUUUGAAUUCCAGCCGAUGUAAUCGUUGCGAUUUUGCUGCUCCAGCCAGGCUUUCAAUGGGUUGAAAAAUGUAAUCAAUGGUUCAGCUGAAAGUCGAUUCAUUUUGCCCCGUGUCAAUAUCUUCAACAACUGUGAUGGUGACAGGGAAGCGCCGUGUUGCAUCACCUCACUGCCAAAAUGAACAGAAAAAAAUUCAGAUGAUGAAAAAUUAAGAAAUUAUUUGAAAAUCAAAAUAUGAAAAUUCUGAAAAUACUGAAAAUACGAAAAAAAGGAAAUUGAUUCGAGUAAUUGUUCACCUUAAAAUGCGUCCAGCCUCCCUGGAUCGAUAGAAAUCGCAUGUGUGCAAUGGUCCCGAGUGAUUGAUUGUUUCGCACAAUUCGGCGUAAAUUUGAAAUUGCAAAAUUGUCCCCACAAAAUAUUUGAUAUAAUCUUGAUCGGCAAUGAUGUGAUAUUUUGAGCCCGCAUCAAAAUCAUCCGUGUGACGUGCAUUGGGCGGAACAACACCUUGAUACCGUAAUCGAAGAUCCCACCAUCUCGAAUUCAUACCUACGGGCCCCUUUUCGAAGACGAGCCAUCGCCAUUUCUCAACCGCCAAACUGAAUGCCAAAAACGGUAGUUUUUCCAGAGCUAAUGCCAACAAAUACUCAAUGUUAAUCACGGAAUUUCCAUUGGCCGUUUGAAUCGGCGUUGACAACAGACCAAUUCGCUGCAAAUGAACAGGACCACCAACCGAUAAUCCAAUUGCAUGAGCUUAAAUGAACAAUUGAAUGAAACAAAUAUGGAUUAGAAAUUGAACCAAAUUUGUUAAAUUUGUAAUGAAAAUUUUGAAAAAGGAAAAAUUUUAUUACAAUUUUUUUUAACAAAAAUGGAAAGUAAAAUACUAAACAAUCGAGGAAUUUUUUUUUGAAGAGAAUAAAAUUUUAAAAUUUGACUUUUCAAUCAUUACAAUGAGGAAUUUUAAUUUUGAGUUUGUAUGUUUAAUGAAAAAAAAAAAAUUCCUUACCAAUUGCUUCAUGAAAUGAUGGAUUAGGUCCGUCUCGAUAAACAAACGGUUGAUUUGCGUAGAGCAUGUAAUAUUGAACGUGAGAGAUUUGAUAGUGUGCACUAAGAAAAUCCUCCAAAGUGAUUUGUGUGCAUUGUUUGAUGCGAAAAUCGAAAUUAUUGCAAAAAUCCCAUGCGGAAGCGGUGCAUUUGGGUGAAGUGUCAACAUUCGAUUGUUGUAAAAUGGAAUUGCGCCAGAAUUCCGGUGACAUUGGUGCCAUUCCGAGUGAUGUGAAAAAUUCUUCGGCUUUUUGAAAUAUGCGUAGCGGUGUGUAGCCCUGUCGUACCAUUUCGGCGGUGACGUCGGGUGUUUCGGAGUAUCGAUGUUUCACAAUAUCCAUGAUAUUCUUCCAGUUUUGUGCCCACAUAUUACCAAACAAAUGAGCUGGAAUUGGGCCAUCGUGUCUUAUCACCUUAUCACCAUACUGACGAAUCAAUCCCUUCCGUACGAACGUGUACAACUGUCGAUAAAGUGGUUGAAUUUCCGUCCACAAAUCCUGCACAGUGAAAUACAUUUCUGGGUCUUCGUAAAGUGCACGCAUUUGUUCGCCCGCAUCAGAGAAACCAUGGGCAAUGGCCGCUUGAUUGGCUACAUCAAUGUAACGCAUAAAAUUAUUGCGAUUUGGUGGUCCAGUUUUCUCGUGCCAUGCCGACCAAAUGUACUUUAAUUCGGCCUCAUUUCGACUGUGCUCCAUGAUAUGCGGUAUAUCAGUAUCAAUGCUGAGAUCACAAUAGCCCGUAUAAGUAUGCGUCACGUAAUUCUCCGAAUCGGUCGAGAUGAUGGAUUCAUUUGGAUGCUUUAUCGGUAGCACACCAAUAUUUUCGUUCAUUUGUGUCGAUUGAUUCACCACUUCGCUCUGCGUACCACGAUACGGACAAACGCGCGCAUGUUUGAAAUUGUCUUUCAUUUGCUGUAUCAAAUUACUGAUUUCGGCGUACUUGUCUUCGGUGAGGCCACAUUUGCCCUGCUUAAUGAUUCGUUGUAAUUGUCUCUUGACAUUUGUAUUUGAAACGGGAUAGUUUAAAAAUGAUAUUGCUCGUCUCCAGCUCAAGCACUCGAAUUUCGUUGCAACCGAUUGCUGCUCCUUCACUCGUCGCUUAUUGUAUUCGCUGGCAUUGGUCGCAUACUUCCAUUCAUUAUUUGCCACUCGAUUGCACAUUUCGGCUGCCUCAAUGUUGAAUUCCUUCAGAAAAUUCAGCACAUCGUCUAUAUUUUCCACCGGAGGCUGUGAUGGAGUGUACAUCUACGGAAAGAAAAAAAUCAAAUUGAGUGAAAGCGAAAUGAGAUUUCCCCCCAAAAUAACAUUGUCAACCGUUCAAUUACUUGAAUCCAAUCGCGCAUAAAAUAACCGUUUGUGAUAAACUCAAGCGGAAAUUGAGCAACCGAAACAAAACAACGAGCGAUUGAUUCAUUUCAAGAAGUUUUGAGUUGAUGUCGACACCGUCGUUCGAUGUCAAUGACAUGCGAAUCUUAAUAAGCGGUUUGAUCUCUUUUAAGCAUCUUUGCGAGCCGAAUUUUGGUUGAUUUUUUGUCAUUUGUCGGUUAUUCGAUUUCAUGGCGAUAGCGAAACAGUCGAAAAUAUGGAACAUGCCAUUAUUUCGAAAUGAACAUACGCAACUAACAGCAACCCGAAAAAAAAAACAUUUACAUCAACCGAAAUUGAACUUUAUUUGCCUCCUACGCCAUGGAAAUGCAUCCAUGUGGAACUAUUUUCUUUUCUUUAUUUCGGUUAAUGUUCCGAAUUCAUUCGGUGUGUGUGCUUUUUUUUAGCACUACAUGAAAUGUAGAGCUAUAAAUCUUUUUUUUUUUUCCUAGAUACUUUUUGAGUGUUGAAACAAAUUAUGUAUGGUGAAUUUGAAUUUUAUGCACAUAUUUUUUAUUUAAUUUAAAACAGUGGCAGUAACGACAAAUAAGUGCAUAAUAUCUCAAAGCGCCAAUCAAAUUUUUAUUAUUAUCAAAUGUUGUUUAAAAAUUACAUUAAUUUUUCGUAUAAUAUUUUCUGAGUCUGGCCCAAAAUUAAAGUGAUUUUAGAUUCUAUGCUCAUAUUAUUUAUUUAAUUUAAACCAAAGGCAGUAUAUUUCAAAAAAGAAAUUAAACCAAGAUCUUGUAAUUCAUUUUGCAAAUAAAUAUAUAAAUCCAAAGUUA
Molecule: long non-coding RNA, 3764 nt
Organism: Sitodiplosis mosellana (orange wheat blossom midge)
Lineage: Eukaryota; Metazoa; Arthropoda; Insecta; Diptera; Cecidomyiidae
Exons: 4
Source: RefSeq, a predicted model, not a curated record